AAGAUCUGUGGUUGUUAUUGUUUGCGUCCAGGAGGUAGAUGCCGCAUGGAACUGUUGUAGUAACUCAGUUAUAGGCUUUGUGGUAUUGUGAAUUCUAAGAGACAAGAAACGGAACGCAAAAUUGUUGGAGAGAAAACAGGAAACGUAAUAUACAUUCGCAUUCUGGGAGGCAAACACGCUUAUAAGUUAAAAUGAUUGUGUCACUGAAGUAUAUAGCGAUGAAACUCGCUAAAAACAGGAAGAGAAAUGCAGCGAAACUGGAGAUACUGUGGGAAAUUUGCAUUUGCAAAAUAAGAUGCUGAAAUAGCAGAAACACAUCACAAAUCCAGUACCACAGCAAAACUACAGGAUUGUACAACCAAAUGUUCUCUGCCACUACCCUAUAUUUUUUGGGAUGGUUACGAAGGAUAGGCCAUGGCAUAUACCGAAGAUCAUUAUUUUAUAUUUUACCAUCUGUGCCAGGUUAAUGUGUCUGUUAAUAUAUCAAUGUUAUGGCACUGUCAAUAGUAGUAUCACCAAUACACUUUAAGAAAAUGAAAGUUUACAAUCCACUGUGAAAACCCACUGUCAUAUAAUGUUUGUUGAAGUGGAUGACACUUGUAUCUGUUGUGUUGGAGUUACUGUUGCAAUG
Schistocerca americana (American grasshopper) is the source of this 631-nucleotide long non-coding RNA. RefSeq lists it as uncharacterized. The transcript is spliced from 3 exons. The record is from RefSeq and is a predicted model, not a curated record. NCBI's taxonomy places the organism in Eukaryota, Metazoa, Arthropoda, Insecta, Orthoptera, Acrididae.